RNAcentral lists this ribosomal RNA (435 nucleotides) under uncultured bacterium. RNAcentral's name for it is "bacterial SSU rRNA". It matches the Rfam family "Bacterial small subunit ribosomal RNA", at positions 917 to 1349 of the family's 1533-position model. The record is from RNAcentral.
GGACCCGCACAAGCGGUGGAGUAUGUGGCUUAAUUCGAUGCAACGCGAAGAACCUUACCUAGGCUUGACAUGCUUGUCGUACUCUCCCGAAAAGGAGAGGUCACUUCGGGUGGACAAUGCACAGGUGCUGCAUGGCCGUCGUCAGCUCGUGUCGUGAGAUGUUUGGUUAAGUCCAGCAACGAGCGCAACCCCUGUGAACUGUUGCCAGCGCGUAAAGGCGGGGACUCUGUUCAGACUGCCCAGAUCAACUGGGAGGAAGGUGGGGACGACGUCAGGUCAGUAUGGCCCUUACGCCUAGGGCUGCACACGUACUACAAUGCCCAGCACAAUGAGAACCGAGACCGCAAGGUGGAGGAAAUCUGCAAAACUGGGCCCAGUUCGGAUUGGAGGCUGCAACUCGCCUCCAUGAAGUCGGAAUCGCUAGUAAUCGCUGGU